UACGUAGGGGGCAAGCGUUGUCCGGAAUCAUUGGGCGUAAAGAGCGUGUAGGCGGUCCGGUAAGUCGGCUGUGAAAGUCCAGGGCUCAACCCUGGGAUGCCGGUCGAUACUGCCGGACUAGAGUUCGGAAGAGGCGAGUGGAAUUCCCGGUGUAGCGGUGAAAUGCGCAGAUAUCGGGAGGAACACCUAUGGCGAAGGCAGCUCGCUGGGACGUGACUGACGCUGAGACGCGAAAGCGUGGGGAGCGAUCCGG
This 253-nucleotide ribosomal RNA is filed under the name uncultured bacterium. RNAcentral's name for it is "partial 16S ribosomal RNA". It matches the Rfam family "Bacterial small subunit ribosomal RNA", at positions 524 to 776 of the family's 1533-position model. The record is from RNAcentral.